Molecule: ribosomal RNA, 277 nt
Filed under: uncultured bacterium
Lineage: Bacteria
Description: partial 16S ribosomal RNA
Rfam family: Bacterial small subunit ribosomal RNA
Source: RNAcentral
GACGAACGCUGGCGGCGUGCUUAACACAUGCAAGUCGAGCGGUAAGGCCCUUUCGGGGUACGACGAGCGGCGAACGGGUAGGAGUAACACGUGGGUGGACCUCGCCCUCCAGCUCUGGGAGUAAAGACCUCGGGAAACGUAGGGUCGUAAUAACUGGAUAUGACUCCACGGUGCAUGUCGUGGGGUGGAAAGACCUUGUGCGGCUGAGGAUGGCCCGGCGGCCUAUCAGCUUGUUGGUGGGGUGAGGCCUACCAAGGCGACGACGGGUAGCCGGCCU